This 253-nucleotide ribosomal RNA is filed under the name uncultured bacterium. RNAcentral describes it as "partial 16S ribosomal RNA". It matches the Rfam family "Bacterial small subunit ribosomal RNA", at positions 524 to 776 of the family's 1533-position model. The record is from RNAcentral.
UACGUAGGGGGCAAGCGUUGUCCGGAAUCAUUGGGCGUAAAGCGCGUGUAGGCGGCCCUAUAAGUCCGCUGUGAAAGUCCAGGGCUCAACCCUGGGAUGCCGGUGGAUACUGUCGGGCUCGAGUCCGGAAGAGGCGAGUGGAAUUCCUGGUGUAGCGGUGAAAUGCGCAGAUAUCAGGAGGAACACCAAUGGCGAAGGCAGCUCGCUGGGACGUGACUGACGCUGAGACGCGAAAGCGUGGGGAGCAAACAGG